CAGUAGCCGCGGUAAUACGUAGGGUGCGAGCGUUAAUCGGAAUUACUGGGCGUAAAGCGUGCGCAGGCGGUUUUGUAAGACAGGCGUGAAAUCCCCGGGCUCAACCUGGGAAUGGCGCUUGUGACUGCAAAGCUAGAGUGCGGCAGAGGGGGAUGGAAUUCCGCGUGUAGCAGUGAAAUGCGUAGAUAUGCGGAGGAACACCGAUGGCGAAGGCAAUCCCCUGGGCCUGCACUGACGCUCAUGCACGAAAGCGUGGGGAGCAAACAGGAUUAGAGACCCCCGUAGUCCCUGUCUCUUAUAC
Molecule: ribosomal RNA, 301 nt
Filed under: uncultured bacterium
Lineage: Bacteria
Description: partial 16S ribosomal RNA
Rfam family: Bacterial small subunit ribosomal RNA
Source: RNAcentral